GUGGGGAAUAUUGCACAAUGGGCGCAAGCCUGAUGCAGCCAUGCCGCGUGUAUGAAGAAGGCCUUCGGGUUGUAAAGUACUUUCAGCGGGGAGGAAGGCGACGGGGUUAAUAACCCUGUCGAUUGACGUUACCCGCAGAAGAAGCACCGGCUAACUCCGUGCCAGCAGCCGCGGUAAUACGGAGGGUGCAAGCGUUAAUCGGAAUUACUGGGCGUAAAGCGCACGCAGGCGGUCUGUUAAGUCAGAUGUGAAAUCCCCGGGCUUAACCUGGGAACUGCAUUUGAAACUGGCAGGCUUGAGUCUUGUAGAGGGGGGUAGAAUUCCAGGUGUAGCGGUGAAAUGCGUAGAGAUCUGGAGGAAUACCGGUGGCGAAGGCGGCCCCCUGGACAAAGACUGACGCUCAGGUGCGAAAGCGUGGGGAGCAAACAGG
This 430-nucleotide ribosomal RNA is filed under the name uncultured bacterium. Its description in RNAcentral is "bacterial SSU rRNA". It matches the Rfam family "Bacterial small subunit ribosomal RNA", at positions 354 to 776 of the family's 1533-position model. The record is from RNAcentral.